This 83-nucleotide transfer RNA is filed under the name Thiohalobacter sp. COW1. RNAcentral describes it as "tRNA-Ala". The record is from RNAcentral. Lineage: Bacteria; Pseudomonadati; Pseudomonadota; Gammaproteobacteria; Thiohalobacterales; Thiohalobacteraceae.
ACGCGCCUUGCCCAGGAAGUCGCCGGUCUCGCACACCGGCCCGACGAUGUCGUAGCAGCGGGAUUCGGUGUCCUGGCGCGGCC